AUUACACAAAUAUGAAGGCGGGCUGGAACCUCUCGGGGUUACAGCCUUGCYSAAUUAUUCACCCUUGUCUUUUGCGUACUUCUUGUUUCCUUGGUGGGUUCGCCCACCACUAGGACAAACAUAAACCUUUUGUAAUUGCAAUCAGCGUCAGUAACAAAUUAAUAAUUACAACUUUCAACAACGGAUCUCUUGGUUCUGGCAUCGAUGAAGAACGCAGCGAAAUGCGAUAAGUAGUGUGAAUUGCAGAAUUCAGUGAAUCAUCGAAUCUUUGAACGCACAUUGCGCCCUUUGGUAUUCCAAAGGGCAUGCCUGUUCGAGCGUCAUUUGUACCCUCAAGCUUUGCUUGGUGUUGGGCGUCUUGUCUCUAGCUUUGCUGGAGACUCGCCUUAAAGUAAUUGGCAGCCGGCCUACUGGUUUCGGAGCGCAGCACAAGUCGCACUCUCUAUCAGCAAAGGUCUAGCAUCCAUUAAGCCUUUUUUUCAACUUUUGACCUCGGAUCAGGUAGGGAUACCCGCUGAACUUAAGCAUAUCAAUAAGCGGAGGAAAAGAAACCAACAGGGAUUGCCCUAGUAACGGCGAGUGAAGCGGCAACAGCUCAAAUUUGAAAUCUGGCUCUUUUAGAGUCCGAGUUGUAAUUUGCAGAGGGCGCUUUGGCUUUGGCAGCGGUCCAAGUUCCUUGGAACAGGACGUCACAGAGGGUGAGAAUCCCGUACGUGGUCGCUGGCUAUUGCCGUGUAAAGCCCCUUCGACGAGUCGAGUUGUUUGGGAAUGCAGCUCUAAAUGGGAGGUACAUUUCUUCUAAAGCUAAAUAUUGGCCAGAGACCGAUAGCGCACAAGUAGAGUGAUCGAAAGAUGAAAAGCACUUUGGAAAGAGAGUCAAACAGCACGUGAAAUUGUUGAAAGGGAAGCGCUUGCAGCCAGACUUGCUUACAGUUGCUCAUCCGGGUUUCUACCCGGUGCACUCUUCUGUAGGCAGGCCAGCAUCAGUUUGGGCGGUAGGAUAAAGGUCUCUGUCACGUAC
RNAcentral lists this ribosomal RNA (1021 nucleotides) under fungal endophyte. RNAcentral describes it as "eukaryotic LSU rRNA". The record is from RNAcentral. Lineage: Eukaryota; Fungi.